Molecule: ribosomal RNA, 510 nt
Filed under: uncultured bacterium
Lineage: Bacteria
Description: bacterial SSU rRNA
Rfam family: Bacterial small subunit ribosomal RNA
Source: RNAcentral
UUCGGAUUGUAAACCACUGUCGGGAGGGACGAAUACAGGGCCUCAAAUAGGGGACCCUGGGUGACGGUACCUCCAAAGGAAGCACCGGCUAACUCCGUGCCAGCAGCCGCGGUAAUACGGAGGGUGCGAGCGUUGUCCGGAAUUACUGGGCGUAAAGGGCGCGUAGGCGGUUCGUUAAGUUGCUGGUGAAAUCCCGGGGCUCAACUCCGGGGCUGCCGGCAAGACUGGCGGGCUAGAGCACGGUAGAGGCAGAUGGAAUUCCCGGUGUAGCGGUGGAAUGCGUAGAUAUCGGGAAGAAUACCGGUGGCGAAGGCGUUCUGCUGGGCCGUUGCUGACGCUGAGGCGCGACAGCGUGGGGAGCAAACAGGAUUAGAUACCCUGGUAGUCCACGCCGUAAACGAUGGACACUAGGCGUCGGGGGGAGCGACCCUCCCGGUGCCGUCGCUAACGCAGUAAGUGUCCCGCCUGGGGAGUACGGCCGCAAGGCUGAAACUCAAAGGAAUUGACGGA